RNAcentral lists this ribosomal RNA (301 nucleotides) under uncultured bacterium. RNAcentral's name for it is "partial 16S ribosomal RNA". It matches the Rfam family "Bacterial small subunit ribosomal RNA", at positions 509 to 807 of the family's 1533-position model. The record is from RNAcentral.
CAGCAGCCGCGGUAAUACGAGGGGGGCAAGCGUUGUUCGGAAUUACUGGGCGUAAAGCGUGCGCAGGCGGUUUUGUAAGACAGGCGUGAAAUCCCCGGGCUCAACCUGGGAAUGGCGCUUGUGACUGCAAAGCUAGAGUGCGGCAGAGGGGGAUGGAACUCCGCGUGUAGCAGUGAAAUGCGUAGAUAUGCGGAGGAACACCGAUGGCGAAGGCAAUCCCCUGGGCCUGCACUGACGCUCAUGCACGAAAGCGUGGGGAGCAAACAGGAUUAGAUACCCGUGUAGUCCCUGUCUCUUAUAC